UCCCUCCAGAUUUCUUACUCCGCAGAUUGAGAUAGUGGUCUGAGUGGCUCAAAGAGAAGGAAAAGUAAAACUGAAGUCGAAUGGGGGCCUUUUGUGACCUCCACGUUCAUUUCAAACAUCA
RNAcentral lists this small nucleolar RNA (121 nucleotides) under Echinops telfairi (small Madagascar hedgehog). Its description in RNAcentral is "Small nucleolar RNA SNORA61 (ENSETEG00000025340.1)". The record is from RNAcentral. Lineage: Eukaryota; Metazoa; Chordata; Mammalia; Afrosoricida; Tenrecidae.